This 519-nucleotide ribosomal RNA is filed under the name Triticum aestivum (bread wheat). RNAcentral's name for it is "partial small subunit ribosomal RNA". The record is from RNAcentral. Lineage: Eukaryota; Viridiplantae; Streptophyta; Magnoliopsida; Poales; Poaceae.
AUGGUGGAUGCACCUCUGUACAAGCAGCGCCGCAGAUACACCAUGGAGCUCCACGACGUCGACCUCCACGACAACCACAAGCUCCACGUCGUUUGCACAAGCAAGGGUCAAGCCGUGGACAAGAUGUUGUCCACGCUCAGGAGGAAGCUCGGCGGAAUGCCCGUCAAACUAGUCGGCGUUGAUGUCGAGUACACGCACUACGUGAAGCCACAACGGGCAGCAGUGCUCCAGCUAUGCGUAGAAAAAGAAUGCCUUGUCUACCAUAUCUCUGCAGCUAAAGACAAGCCAAUGGAACUAGACAAAUUCGUCAUGAAUGCUGAGUACACCUUCGUCAGAUUCACCAUUGAAGGAGACAAAAGCAAGAUGAAUCUAUCUGGCUUGGAGAUCAACUCCGACAACUACAUUGAUAUUCAGGUGGAAUGGAGAGACCCAUACAAUAAAAAGGAGUUUCACUCUUUGGCUGAUGUUGCCGGCAGGAUGAUAGACAUUCACUACCAUGACAUGAAGAAAAAAAAUUAA